GGAAAGCUCAUUGUCUGGUGCCCUGCAUUAAUAUAUAACACACUGUAUAUAGGCAUGCAUGCACAACCACGUGUGAAGUGUAGUACUGUAGCUUAUCCCAACUACGGAUAUUAAUUUAUAUCGACGUGGGAUCCAUAUAUUUCGUGGACGACCGACUGUCUUCAGCACUACUAACAUAUUUGAUAAUCCGUCCAUGCUCCAUCUUUGAUUUGUCUACUUCACAACCCUUGUAGCCAUGUACGCAUUGGGGCCCUAAGCAUUAUGAAUCUUCCCCCGG
RNAcentral lists this long non-coding RNA (277 nucleotides) under Prunus persica (peach). Its description in RNAcentral is "long non-coding RNA (PPER_LNC000375)". The record is from RNAcentral. Lineage: Eukaryota; Viridiplantae; Streptophyta; Magnoliopsida; Rosales; Rosaceae.